CCUACGGGAGGCAGCAGUGGGGAAUAUUGGGCAAUGGGCGCAAGCCUGACCCAGCAACGCCGCGUGAAGGAAGAAGGCUUUCGGGUUGUAAACUUCUUUUCUCAGGGACGAAGAAAGUGACGGUACCUGAGGAAUAAGCCACGGCUAACUACGUGCCAGCAGCCGCGGUACUACGUAGGUGGCAAGCGUUAUCCGGAUUUAUUGGGUGUAAAGGUCGUGUAGGCGGGAGCGCAAGUCAGAUGUGAAAACUCAGGGCUCAACCCUGGGCCUGCAUUUGAAACUGUGUUUCUUGAGUGCUGGAGAGGAAAUCGGAAUUCCGGGUGUAGCGGUGAAAUGCGUAGAUAUACGGAGGAAUACCAGUGGCGAAGGCGGAUUGCUGGACAGUAACUGACGCUGAGGCGCGAAAGCGUGGGGAGCAAACAGGAUUAGAUACCCUAGUAGUC
This 443-nucleotide ribosomal RNA is filed under the name uncultured bacterium. RNAcentral's name for it is "partial 16S ribosomal RNA". It matches the Rfam family "Bacterial small subunit ribosomal RNA", at positions 338 to 795 of the family's 1533-position model. The record is from RNAcentral.